CCUACGGGCGGCAGCAGUGGGGGAUAUUGCACAAUGGGGGGAACCCUGAUGCAGCGACGCCGCGUGGGUGAAGGAGCGUUUCGGCGCGUAAAGCCCUAUCGGCAGGGAAGAAGGAGGACGGUACCUGACGAAGAAGCCCCGGCUAACUACGUGCCAGCAGCCGCGGUAAUACGGAGGGGGCAAGCGUUAUCCGGAUUUACUGGGGGUAAAGGGGGCGCAGACGGCAGCGCAAGCCAGGAGUGAAAGCCCGGGGCCCAACCCCGGGACUGCUCUUGGAACUGCGCGGCUGGAGUGCAGGAGGGGCAGGCCGAAUUCCUGGUGUAGCGGUGAAAUGCGUAGAUAUCAGGAGGAACACCGGUGGCGAAGGCGGCCUGCUGGACUGCGACUGACGUUGAGGCCCGACAGCGUGGGGAGCAAACAGGAUUAGAUACCCCAGUAGUC
RNAcentral lists this ribosomal RNA (441 nucleotides) under uncultured bacterium. Its description in RNAcentral is "partial 16S ribosomal RNA". It matches the Rfam family "Bacterial small subunit ribosomal RNA", at positions 338 to 795 of the family's 1533-position model. The record is from RNAcentral.